GUGCUCACUUUGGCAGCACAUAUACUAAAAUUGGACUGAUACAGAGAAGAUUAGCAUGGCCCCUGUGCAAGGAUGACAAGAAUGAAUGAAUGAAUAAAUAAAUACAG
RNAcentral lists this small nuclear RNA (107 nucleotides) under Microcebus murinus (gray mouse lemur). Lineage: Eukaryota; Metazoa; Chordata; Mammalia; Primates; Cheirogaleidae. The record is from RNAcentral.